Molecule: long non-coding RNA, 559 nt
Organism: Labrus mixtus (cuckoo wrasse)
Lineage: Eukaryota; Metazoa; Chordata; Actinopteri; Labriformes; Labridae
Exons: 4
Source: RefSeq, a predicted model, not a curated record
CCGUCAUACUGUGUUCAGCCCAUGUGCCGUGCAGUGGACAUGUGCGUGAGCCAGAUGGAGGAUGAUUGCUGUGUUUGAACAUCACAAGAAUGCUGAAGCUCAAACAGUGACGAAUGUGCUGUUGACACACACACACACACACACCAGUGUGCCACGAGAAGAAAUGAGUCUGAGCAAGGAGCUCAGAGCAGAGUGCUGCCAUCUACCCCAAGCCGUGUUUGGAAAUGUAUGUAAAAAUGUGCUCUUGAGAAGACGCCAGCAAGAUGUUGCAGCAGCAGCUUGAGCAGAUACUGAUGAGCUGAUUUGAGAGGAGUUUAUUAUCUGCAGGUGAUCAGCAGACUCUGCAUAACAGCUGAUGGAGAUUGGAUCUGUGGAAAUGUCCUUUCCUCCCCCACAUGAUGAACACAUUUUCUCUAUAUUUAUAGCAAAAUUAUAAACACUUAUGCUGUCAGAUUUGCUGUUUUCUGAUAUGGUUUAUUCAAACAAUGUGAAUCGUUCUGUGCAUGUAGAGUUUUAAACUGCUGUCAUGUUGUCUUCAAUAAAAUUGAAUUUGACUCCA